GGGUGUGUGGCCGAGCGGUUUAAGGCACCGGUCUUGAAAACCGGUGUAAGCAUGGCUAAGUGGUUGAUUGGUAAAGAGUUGCGUCUCCGCAUCUC
This is a non-coding RNA of Burkholderiales bacterium, 95 nucleotides long. The record is from Rfam. Lineage: Bacteria; Pseudomonadati; Pseudomonadota; Betaproteobacteria; Burkholderiales.